Molecule: long non-coding RNA, 524 nt
Organism: Pelodiscus sinensis (Chinese soft-shelled turtle)
Lineage: Eukaryota; Metazoa; Chordata; Testudines; Trionychidae
Source: RefSeq, a predicted model, not a curated record
CUAAAGCUUAUAGAUCUGCAUGAGAGACAUUAACUGGGACUGUCAUCACCUGUCGAUUGAGAGCAUCCCCAAGCUGGUAACUAUUAAGCUACGCUGAGAUCCCUGCUCAUCUCCAGCCAUGAAGAUCCUUUAUCUGCUCUUCGCUAUUUUCUUUCUGGUGCUCCAGGUUGCACCAGAUUUCUCACAGGCUCAGGAUCUCAGCAAGAGGUGUGUAAAUCUUGGGGGCAUCUGUUACAUUGGGUCAUGCCCUCGUCAUGCGAUACGCAGAGGAAGGUGCAAUCGCGGGAACGUUUGCUGUAAAACAUGGAGACAAGGCUAAUUGUCUAAGCAGAACGUCUUGGAGUCCGGUAGAUAGCUGCUUGCUAGUUAAAUCAUCCGAUCCUGCUUCAAUGGAAGGCUAACGUGCUGUUUAUCGGGACUGUAAAGAACCUUGUCAGCUGGCAAAAUUCCAGAAGAGAGCCUUUGUAUCACCCAUAUAAGAUCUGUUACUCUUCUGUUAAUAAAAGAAAGCUGGUGUGAGAUAA